UAGUCCACGCCCUAAACGAUGAGGACUGGCUGUUGGCGCUAUAGACGCGUCGGUAGCGAAGCUAACGCGUUAAGUUCUCCGCCUGGGGAGUACGACCGCAAGGUUGAAACUCAAAGGAAUUGACGGGGGCCCGCACAAGCGGUGGAGCAUGUGGUUUAAUUCGAUGAUACGCGAGGAACCUUACCAGGGCUUAAAUGUAGAUUGCAUUAGCUAGAGAUAGCUAUUUCUUCGGACUAUCUACAAGGUGCUGCAUGGUUGUCGUCAGCUCGUGCCGUGAGGUGUCAGGUUAAGUCCUAUAACGAACGCAACCCCUGUUGUUAGUUGCCAGCAUGUAAAGAUGGGAACUCUAACAAGACUGCCGGUGCAAACCGUGAGGAAGGUGGGGAUGACGUCAAAUCAUCACGGGCCCUUACGUCCUGGGGCUACACACGUGCUACAAUGGUAGGGGACAGAGAGCAGCCACUUCGCGAGAAGGGAGCGAAUCUAUAAACCCUAUCACAGUUCGGGA
This 508-nucleotide ribosomal RNA is filed under the name uncultured bacterium. RNAcentral's name for it is "bacterial SSU rRNA". It matches the Rfam family "Bacterial small subunit ribosomal RNA", at positions 791 to 1298 of the family's 1533-position model. The record is from RNAcentral.